AACGAGGCCGACCUGCGGCUGAGUUACCUGCGGAGGGAUCAUUACCGAGUGUGACCCCCUUUUUAUAAAAAGGGGUACCUCCCGUCCUUUGCAGGGCCCUUUGGGGCUUUUUGAACUUUGCUUCGGCGGGUUUUACCCCGCCGGAACACCCUCAAGAAAAUCUUUUUAUAAAAACUGUUGUCUGAGUCACUUGCGAAUUUUAAAACAAAAACUUUUAACAAUGGAUCUCAGAUCGGAAGA
This 240-nucleotide unclassified non-coding RNA is filed under the name soil metagenome. Its description in RNAcentral is "partial contains 5.8S ribosomal RNA, internal transcribed spacer 2, and large subunit ribosomal RNA". The record is from RNAcentral.